RNAcentral lists this ribosomal RNA (340 nucleotides) under uncultured bacterium. RNAcentral's name for it is "bacterial SSU rRNA". It matches the Rfam family "Bacterial small subunit ribosomal RNA", at positions 158 to 507 of the family's 1533-position model. The record is from RNAcentral.
UGACGCUAAUACCGCAUGAUGCAUAGAAGUCGCAUGUCUUUUAUGCCUAAAGAUUUAUUGUACAGAGAUGGGCUCGCGUCUGAGUUAGGUAGUUGGUAGGGUAACGGCCUACCAAGCCGACGAUCAGUAGCCGGACUGAGAGGUUGAACGGCCACAUUGGAACUGAGAUACGGGUCCAGACUCCUACGGGGAGGGCAGCAGUGGGGAAUAUUGGGCAAUGGGCGAAAGCCUGACCCAGCGACGCCGCGUGAGGGAAGAAGGUCUUCGGAUUGUAAACCUUUGUUGGACAGGGACGAAACAAAUGACGGUACCUGUCGAGGAAGCCACGGCUAACUACGUG